GGCGGUUAGAAUUUUCACUUACAAUGAAAGAUACCCUAAAGGGCGCUUUUAUAGUUUUAAGGAAGGUAA
RNAcentral lists this transfer RNA (69 nucleotides) under Gammarus lacustris. RNAcentral describes it as "tRNA-Val". Lineage: Eukaryota; Metazoa; Arthropoda; Malacostraca; Amphipoda; Gammaridae. The record is from RNAcentral.